This 990-nucleotide ribosomal RNA is filed under the name Stylodothis puccinioides. RNAcentral describes it as "SSU rRNA". It matches the Rfam family "Eukaryotic small subunit ribosomal RNA", at positions 92 to 1090 of the family's 1831-position model. Lineage: Eukaryota; Fungi; Ascomycota; Dothideomycetes; Dothideales; Dothideaceae. The record is from RNAcentral.
AAUGGCUCAUUAAAUCAGUUAUCGUUUAUUUGAUAGUACCUUACUACUUGGAUAACCGUGGUAAUUCUAGAGCUAAUACAUGCUAAAAACCUCAACUUCGGGAGGGGUGUAUUUAUUAGAUAAAAAGCCUGCGCCCUUCGGGGCUCCUUGGUGAUUCAUAAUAACUUAACGAAUCGCAUGGCCUUGCGCCGGCGAUGGUUCAUUCAAAUUUCUGCCCUAUCAACUUUCGAUGGUAGGAUAGUGGCCUACCAUGGUAUCAACGGGUAACGGGGAAUUAGGGUUCUAUUCCGGAGAGGGAGCCUGAGAAACGGCUACCACAUCCAAGGAAGGCAGCAGGCGCGCAAAUUACCCAAUCCCGACACGGGGAGGUAGUGACAAUAAAUACUGAUACAGGGCUCUUUAGGGUCUUGUAAUUGGAAUGAGUACAAUUUAAAUCCCUUAACGAGGAACAAUUGGAGGGCAAGUCUGGUGCCAGCAGCCGCGGUAAUUCCAGCUCCAAUAGCGUAUAUUAAAGUUGUUGCAGUUAAAAAGCUCGUAGUUGAACCUUGGGCCUGGCUGGCCGGUCCGCCUCACCGCGUGUACUGGUCCGGCCGGGCCUUUCCUUCUGGGGAGCCGUAUGCCCUUCACUGGGCGUAUUGGGGAACCAGGACUUUUACUUUGAAAAAAUUAGAGUGUUCAAAGCAGGCCUUUGCUCGAAUACAUUAGCAUGGAAUAAUAGAAUAGGACGUGCGGUUCUAUUUUGUUGGUUUCUAGGACCGCCGUAAUGAUUAAUAGGGAUAGUCGGGGGCAUCAGUAUUCAAUUGUCAGAGGUGAAAUUCUUGGAUUUAUUGAAGACUAACUACUGCGAAAGCAUUUGCCAAGGAUGUUUUCAUUAAUCAGUGAACGAAAGUUAGGGGAUCGAAGACGAUCAGAUACCGUCGUAGUCUUAACCAUAAACUAUGCCGACUAGGGAUCGGGCGAUGUUAUCAUUUUGACUCGCUCGGCACCUUA